RNAcentral lists this ribosomal RNA (476 nucleotides) under Neisseria sp. oral taxon 014. RNAcentral describes it as "bacterial SSU rRNA". It matches the Rfam family "Bacterial small subunit ribosomal RNA", at positions 30 to 494 of the family's 1533-position model. Lineage: Bacteria; Pseudomonadati; Pseudomonadota; Betaproteobacteria; Neisseriales; Neisseriaceae. The record is from RNAcentral.
AUUGAACGCUGGCGGCAUGCUUUACACAUGCAAGUCGGACGGCAGCGGGGUAGUGCUUGCACUACUGCCGGCGAGUGGCGAACGGGUGAGUAACAUAUCGGAACGUACCGAGCAGUGGGGGAUAACUAAUCGAAAGAUUAGCUAAUACCGCAUAUAUUCUGAGGAAGAAAGCAGGGGACCUUUGGGCCUUGCGCUGUUUGAGCGGCCGAUAUCUGAUUAGCUGGUUGGUGGGGUAAAGGCCUACCAAGGCGACGAUCAGUAGCGGGUCUGAGAGGAUGAUCCGCCACACUGGGACUGAGACACGGCCCAGACUCCUACGGGAGGCAGCAGUGGGGAAUUUUGGACAAUGGGGGCAACCCUGAUCCAGCCAUGCCGCGUGUCUGAAGAAGGCCUUCGGGUUGUAAAGGACUUUUGUCCGGGAAGAAAAGCGCGAUGUUAAUACCAUUGCGUGCAGACGUACCGGAAGAAUAAGCCCC